UUAAACAUUUUUCAACGCAUCCUAUCACAACCUUUGAUAGAAGAUAUCUCAAAAUUUCCAACCCUUGAAAUAAAGUCCAAAAUUAAAUUACAAAAGGGAAAGCUCAUUUUUGUUCACGCUCCACACUCAGAAAAUUCUCUCAAAAUCGGAGCUCAUCUCAGAAAAUUCUCUCAAAAUCGAUCUGAGCUCAUCUCAGGAAACUCAAAGAUCGGAGCUCAUCUCAUCUACGACGGGUUGAUUUGCGGUGGUCAGCUAUCUCAUCUCCGACGACAAGCGAGUCGUUGAUCGACUGAGCACUCUUCGCCACCCCAUUUUCCGAUUACAGAUUAUUUAUGGUAGAUAAUGAAGAUCAAUCUCAAAGAGAAAAUCCCAUUAGGAAGGUCAAGGAUUUAGCUGAGGAACAAAAUGAGCAUAACCUCUACGCAUUCACUCCCAAAAGAAAGUGAGGAAGAUAAUGCCUCUCAAAAUAUCAUAUAUGGAAAUAAAAAUGAUAUUUUUUGGGUUAUUCUUAUGUGAUACUAUUGCGGCUGGUAUUAAAGCUCGUGAUGGUUUUCUUAGCUGAUCCAAAUGAUAUCUUCUUGACAGAUGGAGCAAACCCAGCUGUCCAUAUGAUGAUGCAAUUACUGGUAAGAUCAGAAAAUGAUGGAAUUCUUUGUCCCAUUCCUCAGUACCCUUUACACUCUGCUUCAAUUGAUCUCCAUGGUGGCACACUGGUAUGCUUCUAAUUUGUAGCACUUUAUUCAGAAGCUCAAGAUUGGUUGUACUCAACUGCUAAGUGAAAAGACUUUAUUUUAUUUUAUUUUUUCAGCAUAGAUUUUACACUGACCUGACUUGGUAACUUGGAAGUUGGAAAAUGGAAAUUUGAUUUAUUCUUUUUUGAAUUUUCAUUCAAUCUUGAAGUAUGGCCAUUUUAGGUUCCUUACUAUCUCAAUGAAGCAACAGGAUGGGGAUUGUAAGUCUCUUCACUUAAGAAGCAAUUGGAGGUUGCCAAGUCCCAAGGCAUCAUAGUUAGGGCUUUAAAUGUUAUAAAUCCCAGAAACCCAACAGGCCAGGUGUGCUAUUAGUAGGUUUGAAGAAGUAGAGAUUUGACUAGCAAAGUACCUAAAGUUCACGUAAAAGAGAAUGCAUUGCUAUGUGUCUAUUUUUGUCCCUGUACAUUAUAUGAUUUUUCUGUUGUACCUGCAGGUUCUUGUGAGGAGAACCAGCGUGACAUUGUGGAAUUCUGCAGGAAAGGUCUUGUGCUACUGGCAAAUGAGGUUGGUAAAUUCUUAUUAGCAAAAGAUGUUGAAACAUCAUGCAACUCUAGUAACAAAUAGAGAUUUGAGUACUUGUAGGGAACUAAAUUUGGUUUUGUUUGCUCUUUAUUGACUCCCUUUGCUUGCUUGGUGCCCUACCAAAUAGAUCUGAUUUGAUUUGCUACGUUAAAGUUACAACUUAUGUCCAAUGAACUUUAUACAGGUAUAUCAGGAAAAUGUUAAUUGUGAAUAGAUCAUGUGUAAUGUACUUGAGCUGAUUUUUGUGGAAUUUGAAAUUUGGAUUAAGUGUCAGGUGUUAAUACCAUGUUCUAUUACUUGGAGAUCUAAACUGGAUAAUAAGGUGUUUACCUGUUUGUAAACUUGGUUCAAAGCCAUUAUGAUCUACUUAACAGCUGUGAAAUUAUUAUUUUCUAAUUGAAUCAUUUGUCUUUAAGAUCAACAAGACUAUUCUGGUGCUCAUACGUAUGAAAGGAUUGAUGUGGAGGGAUCUUUCCAUGCUGAAUGGUUCAAGCUUGCCAAACAGUGUAAUAUAAGUUUUGGAGGUAUUCCACUUGAAUGAAACUCAAAAUAAUCCUAAUAAAUUUCUGCCCAAGACUCUGCUGGGCAGAGCUGACACCACCUCUGCCUGUUGAAAUGUAUCUCAAUUAUUACAUACUCCGAUUAAACACCCCAGCUCUUGCGCAGUCUUAUUUCAGUGGUCUUUUGGCCAAGGAUGUUACGGUGGAAAACCUCCCCAACUUGGUUAAAUCAGGUCUUAAAUUUGAGGAGAUAGAAAAUGAUGUGAGUACUCGAGAUUAUAUAAAAAGGAUAUGGGACUUCACGGGAUCACUCUAUAACAUUGAAUCCAUGGAAUUCAGCAUAGAAACUGCAGAGGUCUUGUUAUUAUAUGUGGGCUGCAGUACAAUUCUUGUUUUGUCAGGCUCCAAAGGUACAAACACUUGUCUUUGAAUUGACAUUCCUAGGUAGCCAUGAUGGUUACCCACCUGAAAAUCGCUUGGAAGAUCACUUGGAGAAGUGGCUUUACGUUCCUGAAUGUUUGUCAUCACAUCUUACAGUCUGUUAUAAUAAGGAAUUUUCAGGGCAUGAAGUUGAGAUGAACUUGUUCGACAAGUCUUGAAGGAAGCAAAUAUAUUAAAGACAAUGAAAAUCACUUUUGAAAGUUGUCUAGACUCAGAGAUAAAGCUUUGUGCUCGCAAGAAAUUAAGAAAGCUUCAAAGGAGGUAUCCUACUUGUCAAUUUGAAUUUGACGAAGGACAAGUUGAUUUUUAAGUUCUCUUUCUUAAUUUGUGCGAAGCAAUAGCUUUAUGGGAAUGGCCAUUGGUCUUUGCAUCUUUCAUUUUAGUUUGGAAAUGUGUAUUUUGUCCAUUGGUUUGUUUAGUGCAGCUAUUUGCCCUAUGUUUGUGUGUUUUUGUUGAGGAGGUCAUUUAGACUUUUUAUAGCGGCUUUGGUUGUGUUUUGUGCAGCCACUAGGCUGAUUUGGGUGUUGUAUGGCUACUGGCCUUUUGUUCCUGCACAAAGUAGUUUGUUUUCUUGUGCGUGAUUUAAA
Molecule: RNA transcript, 2802 nt
Organism: Quercus robur (English oak)
Lineage: Eukaryota; Viridiplantae; Streptophyta; Magnoliopsida; Fagales; Fagaceae
Gene name: alanine aminotransferase 1, mitochondrial-like
Exons: 5
Source: RefSeq, a predicted model, not a curated record